UAAACGCUUCCAUAAUGGAAACACGGCCUUACACUGGUUUGGAAUAGCAAUCCUGCCGACAGCAAAGAGUUCCUAAAAUUCGCGGAGGCCAGUUGCGAUAUCGAGGGCUCAGAGGCAAGCAACUCUUCUUUUCCCACCGAAAAUUCCUUUGAGGAGCCCUCGGGCCCUCCAGCGAAAAAGAGUCGCUCUGAAUUGACCGAGAGGUUGGUUGAGGCGGAGGAAAGGAAGGCCGCGGCAAUGGAAAAAAUGGCUGAGGACUCCGCAAAAUUCCAGAACCGCCUGCUGGAAAUCCUGGAAAGGCGUUACAAAAUGUAAGAAAUCUUAGUCACAUCUAUAAUAAAAACUAUGUAUAUAAGAAUUUUUCCGAUAUUUUUUUUAAUUUGUACUUCUGAAAUGUUGUCCCAAAGCUUGCCGAAUGAAUUCUGUUCUUUUAUUUGUAUUGUUUAUACAAACUUAUUUCUUCUGCUGCUGGUCUACUGAUGUCAGCCAGUUUCCGCCAAUGGAGCAGUUUCCUUUUUCGAUUCUUCGAAAUCGUGCCUUAAGGUGACCAAAGGCGUUUUUGACUACUCUUCUGG
This is a non-coding RNA of Drosophila suzukii, 575 nucleotides long. The record is from RefSeq and is a predicted model, not a curated record. Lineage: Eukaryota; Metazoa; Arthropoda; Insecta; Diptera; Drosophilidae.